CAAGCCCAGCACUGAUACCGGGAAGAUCAGCUCUUGAGAAAUAGCACUGACUACUGUUUGCAAGGGCAAGAACAGGGCAGCUGGCCCACAGCAAACUCCACCAGCAUGUAGAAGAGGGACCACAGGUCAUCAUGGCGGCCCAUCUCCUGGGAGGGAUUUUGAGCGGGAGGAGAGGUGAUGGAAGCCCAGAAGGAAAGGGCAUCAGAGACAGCUACUAGUAAGCCUUUCUCCAACUCCAGGCUUCCCCAGCGACAGAUUGCAGCUGAUGCUCCGUUCUUUUCUUCCCACCCCCUACCCCCGACAUCCACAGCGUGCUCUAGGACCGACCUUUUCUUUCUGCCCUUAGCUCAGGCUGUGUUUGCUGCUCACUCACCCGGUUCUUGUGAGCAUUGACCGAGGCGUAGCGGACAGUCCCCCGGAACCCGGCCACAUUCCGAGGCUGCAGACAAGAGACCGCACCUCAGCCACUCUGCUGACCCUACCACCACCCGGCCUAACGGGCCACCUCAUCCUGAUAUCCAGGAGCCCAGACAGGAGAGUGGGCCAGGCUGUCACCCCAGGGUUGGAUGAACUAAUACUGAAGGA
Molecule: long non-coding RNA, 585 nt
Filed under: Mus musculus (house mouse)
Lineage: Eukaryota; Metazoa; Chordata; Mammalia; Rodentia; Muridae
Description: predicted gene, 47119
Source: RNAcentral